Molecule: unclassified non-coding RNA, 87 nt
Filed under: Pseudomonas psychrophila
Lineage: Bacteria; Pseudomonadati; Pseudomonadota; Gammaproteobacteria; Pseudomonadales; Pseudomonadaceae
Source: RNAcentral
UGUGGGAGCGGGCUUGCUCGCGAUGCGCGCAGCGCAGUCUGUCAGGCAAACCUGGGCGACCCCAUCGCGAGCAAGCCCGCUCCCACA